RNAcentral lists this ribosomal RNA (254 nucleotides) under uncultured bacterium. Its description in RNAcentral is "partial 16S ribosomal RNA". It matches the Rfam family "Bacterial small subunit ribosomal RNA", at positions 524 to 776 of the family's 1533-position model. The record is from RNAcentral.
UACGUAGGGUGCGAGCGUUAAUCGGAAUUACUGGGCGUAAAGCGUGCGCAGGCGGUUCUCCAAGUCCGUUGUGAAAGCCCCGGGCUCAACCUGGGAAUGGCAGUGGAAACUAGGGGACUUGAAUCUGGCAGAGGGGGGUGGAAUUCCACGGUGUAGCAGUGAAAUGCGUAGAGAUGUGGAGGAACACCGAUGGCGAAGGCAGCCCCCUGGGCUGAGAUUGACGCUCAGGCACGAAAGCGUGGGGAGCAAACAGG